This 148-nucleotide non-coding RNA is filed under the name Homo sapiens (human). The record is from Rfam by way of RNAcentral. Lineage: Eukaryota; Metazoa; Chordata; Mammalia; Primates; Hominidae.
GCUGGGCAUGGUGGUGUGUGUCUGUAGUCCCAGCUACUCAGGAGGCUGAGGCAGGAGGAUUGCUUGAGCCCAAGAGGUCGAGGCUGCAGUGAGUUAUGAUUGUACCAUUGCACUCCAGCCUGGGCAACAGGGCAAGACCCUGUCUCUG